AUUGAACGCUGGCGGCAUGCCUUACACAUGCAAGUCGAACGGUAACGCGGGGCAACCUGGCGACGAGUGGCGAACGGGUGAGUAAUAUAUCGGAACGUGCCCAAUAGUGGGGGAUAGCCCGGCGAAAGCCGGAUUAAUACCGCAUGAGACCUGAGGGUGAAAGCGGGGGAGUCGCAAGACCUCGCGCUAUUGGAGCGGCCGAUAUCAGAUUAGGUAGUUGGUGGGGUAAAAAGCCUACCAAGCCGACGAUCUGUAGCUGGUCUGAGAGGACGACCAGCCACACUGGGACUGAGACACGGCCCAGACUCCUACGGGAGGCAGCAGUGGGGGAAUUUUGGACAAUGGGCGCAAGCCUGAUCCAGCCAUGCCGCGUGCGGGAAGAAGGCCUUCGGUUGUAAACCGCUUUGUCAGGGAAGAAAUCUUCUGGGCUAAUACCUCGGGAGGAGUGACGGUACCUGAAGAAUAAGACACCGGCUAACUACGUG
RNAcentral lists this ribosomal RNA (485 nucleotides) under uncultured bacterium. RNAcentral describes it as "bacterial SSU rRNA". It matches the Rfam family "Bacterial small subunit ribosomal RNA", at positions 29 to 507 of the family's 1533-position model. The record is from RNAcentral.